This is a long non-coding RNA of Callithrix jacchus (white-tufted-ear marmoset), 1532 nucleotides long. RefSeq lists it as uncharacterized. Lineage: Eukaryota; Metazoa; Chordata; Mammalia; Primates; Cebidae. The record is from RefSeq and is a predicted model, not a curated record.
UAGUAGUCCUUGAAUAAAAGGUUCUGUGUAUAGUCAUAAAGAGAGGACAGUCCUCUCAAUUCUUUCAUUGACAACUUAAGUUUCUUUUUAAUGUCGUUUAUUAUAUGGUUAACACGUGAACAACAUGGAUUUUAACUAUGCAGAUUUACUUCUGCCUCUGCCAUUCUAGAGACAGCAAGAUUAACUCCUCCUUCUCCCCUUUCUCAGCCUACUCAACUUGAAGACAAGAAAGAAGUUCUUUAUGAUGACCACUUCUACUUAGUGAAUAGUUUCCUUUUCAGAUGCAUUAUCUUCCCUUCUUCACAGUGGAGAUCAUCUGUCAGAUUUCUGCUCACUCACCAAGCUCUUGCAUAUGAACUACAGCAUCAUUGAGGCUCUCCUGUACCUGCAAUGCUACGUCUCCAGGAACAUGAUGCAGAGGAAAUCACUUCACAGAAGGGGUCAAGGAUGGUGAUGCUGUUCUACAUGAGGAAGAGACACAGGUAUACAAUGAGUGAAGGCAUGGAAUGGAGGAAGAAUCAAGCCAUUGGUUCAACUGGAGCUGUAUGGAUUAGCACGGAAGCCACUAUACCUGGGUGGCUCUGGAAUACUUGAAAGUGUUGGACUGGAGCACGAGGUAAUUUCAAGAGAAGAGAAGUAAGUUCAAAUAAGAGCAUCAAGGGCAUUAAAUACCUGACUAAGUAAUUCAUAUAAUACUUGCCAGCUGGUGGGAAUUCAUUGAUUUUUGAGUAGAGAAAUAAAAUAGAAUACCAAGGGAACAUUAAUCUAGUAGCAGGGGCAUAUUUCAAUUUCCAGUUCCUUAUUCAUGAUAAAACAUUGCUCCAGACCUUAAUGAUAAUUCAUUUUAUAGCUUUUCAGUUGAAAUUUUGCCAAAGGAAAAAAUGAUUUGUGUCACUGUGCUUAUUUACUCAUUUUCAGAUAGAUCCUAGGUAGAUUAAUGCACUCCAUUUCUCCUUAUAGAAACCUUGUUACCUUUUCUCCAAAUCACUUAUGUUGGUAUAAUUGCAUAGUGAGCUCUCUUUGAUAAAUCUUACCCAAUUGAAGAGAAGCAAAGUGACUCUCAUUAUUUUCCUACUCAGAGAUGUCCCAGCAGCCUUUCUCACCCUUUAUACUGGGCAUGCAGGGAAUAUUUGCAGGGAAGGAUGUUGAGGUAUCAUUCGGUAUAAUCACAGCAGUACAUGGUGGUUGUAGGAUUUCCAAAAAUUGUUGCUUAUGUUUCUGCAAUGAAUUCAAACAUAUGGGUGCAUUUGGGGGAUGUGGUGCCAUAUUUAUAACAAAUGUUUUAUUCAAAUUUUAAUAUCUAAAAAUUAUAAAAUGUGAAUAUUUACUGAGCUUCAUCUGAUUGUCCCAAGCUUUCAUUUUAGAUAAAUGACUUAGGUGUUUUAAUCGCUCUUUGCUCUCUGUUUCUUUUCUGUCAUAUUUGCUUCUGUUGUUUUGUGCUUAGUAUGAAACCAUAGAAUUCUGUGCCUACCUGAUGCAUUCCACAUGAGCAAAACCUAUUUCUCAUUCCAACACCCCUUCUUCUUUCAGAU